UUUUAGAAUGCAGUGACCUAUGAUGAUGUGCAUGUCGACUUCACUUGGGAAGAAUGGACUUUACUGGAUCCUUCCCAGAAGAAUCUCUACAAAGAGGUGAUGAUUGAGACCUAUAGGAACCUCACUAUUAUAGGAUACAAUUGGGAAAACCAUAAUACUCAAGAGCAUCCUCAAAGUUCUAGAGGAGAUAAAAGGUCAUUAAGAAUUUCUUUCCAUUUUUCUCAAGUGAGUUGAUUAUUUACUUCUGUUUAGAGCAAUGUCUCCAGUUGCUUAGGCUUGCCUCAUACUAUGCAGUUGAGAAUUGCUUUGAACAUCUAAUUCUGCUUCUGCUGCCCAGUGUGGGAAAGAAAGUUCUGCAAACUGCUUCAAGACUGGACCUAAACUGGUCAUUGUGAAGUAAAAAUAGACUGGUAAAUGAGUGUCCUCCAA
Peromyscus eremicus (cactus mouse) is the source of this 429-nucleotide long non-coding RNA. RefSeq lists it as uncharacterized. Lineage: Eukaryota; Metazoa; Chordata; Mammalia; Rodentia; Cricetidae. The transcript has 3 exons. The record is from RefSeq and is a predicted model, not a curated record.